UAAUAAGUGAAAUGAUCUGCCAAUCUACACAAUAUUAAGAAAUUGUUGACUUAAAACAAGCUCCUUUACAUUACUGAAAAGUUUAUUGAUGUUCAUUACAUCCUUUGAACAAAAUUAUUAAUAAUAAUGAUAUUUUAGUCUGGACAGUUCUGCCUAUUUUGAGCUCCUUUCAGAACCAACUGACAAAUAGAGUUCCGCUCAGGUUGCUAGGUGAUGGGCUGGUCUGGGGUUGCUAGGUAACGGCACAGCGGCAAUGGAAUGUGAUUUAACAAACCAGGAUUUUUUAAACAAUUAAUUUUCUAGAAACAAUAACUUGCCAAAAAAACACGGUUGAGUGGUUUUCAGGCACUUGGAUUGAUUUUUUUCCAGCUUUUGUUUUCACUCAGCCGUUUCUAAAGUAUUUACGCUACCAGGACUGGGUCACGCAUAGCAACAAGAGGAAACUUUAGAUUUGCUCAGAUGAUGGCAGAAAGCUGCCGGAUGUGAUUACGGAUUUACUCCCAACACCAGACAGACCAGGGGGAACCAGGAAACAAAGCGCUCCCUUCAGCCUGCGACUGAUUCUGAUUCUGCUGUUUGCACAGCAAGUUCUGGUCCAAAUCCUGAUCUUCACUUCCUGCUCAGAGGUGGUCACGUGUGGGGAAAAACAUUUCAGUAUUACGUCACUCAACUAAGCCAAAUCACUGCUUCAAUUAGUGUUAGAGAGGUUUUAGGGUUAAAUAUGGAAAA
Molecule: non-coding RNA, 729 nt
Organism: Poecilia reticulata (guppy)
Lineage: Eukaryota; Metazoa; Chordata; Actinopteri; Cyprinodontiformes; Poeciliidae
Source: RefSeq, a predicted model, not a curated record